Molecule: ribosomal RNA, 208 nt
Filed under: uncultured bacterium
Lineage: Bacteria
Description: partial 16S ribosomal RNA
Rfam family: Bacterial small subunit ribosomal RNA
Source: RNAcentral
CUCGUAGGUGGUUUGUCGCGUCGUCUGUGAAAUUCCGGGGCUUAACUCCGGGCGUGCAGGCGAUACGGGCAUAACUUGAGUGCUGUAGGGGAGACUGGAAUUCCUGGUGUAGCGGUGAAAUGCGCAGAUAUCAGGAGGAACACCAAUGGCGAAGGCAGGUCUCUGGGCAGUAACUGACGCUGAGGAGCGAAAGCAUGGGUAGCGAACA